This 252-nucleotide ribosomal RNA is filed under the name uncultured bacterium. RNAcentral's name for it is "partial 16S ribosomal RNA". It matches the Rfam family "Bacterial small subunit ribosomal RNA", at positions 524 to 776 of the family's 1533-position model. The record is from RNAcentral.
UACGUAGGGGGCGAGCGUUAUCCGGAUUCAUUGGGCGUAAAGCGCGCGUAGGCGGCCGCCUAAGCGGAACCUCUAACCCCGGGGCUCAACCUCGGGCCGGGUUCCGGACUGGGCGGCUCGAGUGCGGUAGAGGAGAGCGGAAUUCCCGGUGUAGCGGUGGAAUGCGCAGAUAUCGGGAAGAACACCGAUGGCGAAGGCGAUUCUCUGGACUGUAACUGACGCUGAGGCUCGAAAGCGUGGGGAGCAAACAGG